Molecule: ribosomal RNA, 253 nt
Filed under: uncultured bacterium
Lineage: Bacteria
Description: partial 16S ribosomal RNA
Rfam family: Bacterial small subunit ribosomal RNA
Source: RNAcentral
UACGUAGGGGGCUAGCGUUGUCCGGAUUUAUUGGGCGUAAAGAGCGUGUAGGCGGCCAGGUAGGUCUGGUGCGAAAACUCGAGGCUUAACCUCGAGAUGUCAUCGGAAACCAUCUGGCUAGAGUCCGGAAGAGGAGAGUGGAAUUCCUGGUGUAGCGGUGAAAUGCGCAGAUAUCAGGAAGAACACCAAUGGCGAAAGCAGCUCUCUGGGACGGUACUGACGCUGAGACGCGAAAGCGUGGGGAGCGGACAGG